ACCACACCAGGAACGAAAGUUUAUAAUAGAUAUAGAAGUGACAGUAAACAAGUUUUUCAAGAUUUAAAAUGAACAACAUGAUUUGGCUUCUUGCUCUAAAAUAGAAACAAUCUGCAACACUAACUUGGCGACAAUCCCACCAAUUCAACGACAAUGGAUAUCUCUACCCUUCACUCCUUUGUGGUUUCUAGAAUCAAAGGAGAACUACCAUCAUUGCAGGAAAGGAAAAGAAAAUAACAACAGUUCUUGCGGUUAAAGCAUCUGUCAAGUGAAGGUAUGCUGCUUGAAUCCUUCUUUCAGUAACCAUCUGUACACAGCGGCAGUAGUGCCAAGGAAAAAAACUUAUUUGAAAAGGCAGUAAGAAUAAGCUUCAGGACACAGUGAGGGCUGAAGCUACCUAUUUGAAAACAGUGAAACAACUCAUUAAAUUUAUCCAGUUUUAAGAAUUAAUAUUGUACAACUAAGAGCAGACUACAAAAUAGUCAAUCAAGAAGAUUCAACUGUAUAAACUUGAUAAUUAGAGACAAUGUUUUAGCCAAAAUAUUUUAACCAACACUUCCACCAACCACCCGGUGAAGUGAAAUAUAUAAUAUGGUCAAUCAAGCAUAUUAAAAUUAAUAUGUUAGAAGUAAUAAAAGUGCACUGGGAAGGCAACCAUAAAGAAGAACCGAUGUCAAGAGCACUGACGAUCACAGUAAUAAGAAAAAGUAACCGAUGUCAAGAGCACUGACGAUCACAGUAAUGAGAGAAAGUAUCACAUGGCAAGAACAAUGGACUGACCAGACCAUCUGAAAUCCCUGGAACUACAUGAUAUCAGAUCCCUAACAACGCACAUAAUACCUACAAAGUAGCUGAUGCAAAAAUAAGUCCAAAAAUAGUUAUUUAUUUUUCUAAACCCAAAAUACAGUUAGGGAGACCUCGAGACAGAUAGUUUACAGGUCGGUGAAAGAGGCUGGUGACAAAAUUGAGACACCACAAUACCUACAGAUAUGACAAAGACAUGAGAAACGGUUGACCUGGCAAUGUUGUUCAGUGUUAAAACAAUCCCAAAAAUGACAUUGAGAAAUCUAUCCUGGCCUAGAGAAAUGAGCUUAGACGGACUUUACAGAAUGCUAAUUCAUGCACUAAACUUCUCCCAGAAAUAAUCAUGUAUUGCAGAUUGAGUAAUUAGCGGUGUUGCGUCAAGAACUAUAGAGAAUUCUUGUUUGCAUUAGUACAAACAAUAAAAUCAAAAGGCAGGCAUGACUGUGUUCACAAGAGAGAAAUGCCAACUUGUUCUUAUUCACCAAAUUCUUCUGCUGGAUUAUUCCUCUUCUUUCUCAGAUCUGCACACAUCUGUUCAGAGAAGCCAGAUAUUAGGAAAUCAAACCAGAGUGACAAAGGAUGGAGCACCUAACAGAGGUUUGUGAACUACCUCUUCAUGCCACGCCAUAAGAUGAUUACUUUCAGCCAGAUUGAUUCCAUGUUUCUGUGAAUAAAACAUAUUGCACGUGACUGGAUCUUAAUGUUAUAGAUUAGCAAGCAUCUCUAGAUUCAAUCACCAUAUAUAUCUUACUCCUAAAGUUACAGGGUAACCGUAAUCAUCUACUUACAAUUUCCAAGACAUUCUUUAUAAAUGUUAUACUACAUGGCACAUGCCUAUGUCCAAAAGGGCAAUAAUAUGCAACUCAAGGAUCAUAUUCAUGUGGUGCCGUAAUUGCAUCCCACAAAAAGAAACCUAUAGGCCUAAGAAACAGAGUAAAUAUCAAUAAUACAUCAUUACCAUGAAAGAAUUUCUCUCCUAGAAAUUCAUAUCAAAGAGAGUGUGCACAGAAGCAACCCAUACAGGUCAACUCAAGAUAUUUAAAUGAACGUAUUCAAAGAUAUUCCACGACCUUAUUUACGGAAUUUAGACAAUUUUUGCUGCCAAGGUUAGAGCAUUGCCUAGUCUGUUUCUGGCACAAAAACAAUCUUAACCCAGCCUGCAGCUGAAUAACGUGAAAUAAGAUUUAAGAAUAAGACCAAUAAUUAGUACGUGUUGUACAAAGAAAUCUUAGCUACAGAAGGAGUUUUGUGAACAAAUUAAGAUAGUUAAAUGAGUGAAAGGACAGUACCAGAUGACCCCGGCUCCCAGCUCACUGCACACAGAAAUUUGCUAACUUAUUUCCAGGAUCAAACAAUUUGGAAGCUUUGUAUUGUACAAUAAGAAAACCCAAAAGAAGUUUCAUGAUUGCAAUCUAAUUAAAGAACAUGUCCUCCUCAGUCAGAGAUUCAUUUAAUAAAAAAGAGAGAAAGGAUCAAGAGCACAUCACACAGGUCUACUGAGAUCAGGAGCGGACAAGAACAACGGGCAUUCAUGUUUCAUCAUCAAUGCCUCCUAUAAUAUACGCAAUCUGUAAAAAAUGUGAACCUAAAAAUGUGGUGAAACCAAAAGAAAACACACUGUAAAUAGAUGUAAAAGGGACAUGCUCGUUAAACUUUGCAAUCCCUUCCAAGGAACUUUUUAUGAAAAGAAAAUUUCGAGUAAGUACAAGAAGUGUCCAGUCUUCCGAACACAUGUGCUGGGAAUGGACUACAAAACAAGCCAGUGUUCUCAAAUUAUGUUUGGUACUACACCGAGCUUCUUAAAUCAUGAGGAAAUUGGACCCUCCACAACACUGUCCAAUGCACACUGCACGGGGUC
This 2662-nucleotide long non-coding RNA is filed under the name Triticum aestivum (bread wheat). Its description in RNAcentral is "long non-coding RNA (TAES_LNC004301)". The record is from RNAcentral. Lineage: Eukaryota; Viridiplantae; Streptophyta; Magnoliopsida; Poales; Poaceae.